AUUAAAGAACCUUAGUGAGCACGCUCACAUACCCCACGUCCCCACAUUGUCAUUGGAGAAAUUAAAUAAGUAUAAGAAAAAAAAAAUUGAAAAAAUAUUGAAUAAUAAUUUCCUGUCAAUAUACAUAGUAUGUCCUUAUUAUCUACAAAAUUUCAUGAAAUUAUGUUGUGUGUUUUCAGAGGAGUUGAGAUGACAAACUGUUGCAGAAGUACAUUGAAGCAAAUAAGUUCAAAGGGGCUUAACUCCUAGAAAAAAAAUUGAACCGUAAUUUCCUGUUGAUAUGCACAUCUACAUAGUAUGUCCUUAUUAUCUACAAAGUUUCAUGAAAUUCUGUUGUGUGGUUUGAGAGGAGUUGCAAUGACAAACUGUUGCAG
RNAcentral lists this long non-coding RNA (374 nucleotides) under Mytilus galloprovincialis (Mediterranean mussel). The record is from RNAcentral. Lineage: Eukaryota; Metazoa; Mollusca; Bivalvia; Mytilida; Mytilidae.